Molecule: ribosomal RNA, 433 nt
Filed under: uncultured bacterium
Lineage: Bacteria
Description: partial 16S ribosomal RNA
Rfam family: Bacterial small subunit ribosomal RNA
Source: RNAcentral
AACGAACGCUGGCGGCAUGCCUAACACACGCAAGUCGAACGAGACCUUCGGGUCUAGUGGCGCACGGGUGCGUAACGCGUGGGAACCUGCCCUUAGGUUCGGAAUAACUCCCCGAAAGGGGUGCUAAUACCGGAUAAUGUCUUCGGACCAAAGAUUUAUCGCCUUUGGAUGGGCCCGCGUUGGAUUAGCUAGUUGGUAGGGUAAAAGCCUACCAAGGCGACGAUCCAUAGCUGGUCUGAGAGGAUGAUCAGCCACACUGGGACUGAGACACGGCCCAGACUCCUACGGGAGGCAGCAGUGGGGAAUAUUGGACAAUGGGCGAAAGCCUGAUCCAGCAAUGCCGCGUGAGUGAUGAAGGCCUUAGGGUUGUAAAGCUCUUUUACCCGGGAUGAUAAUGACAGUACCGGGAGAAUAAGCGCCGGCUAACUCCGUG